This 562-nucleotide long non-coding RNA is filed under the name Phaseolus vulgaris (common bean). RNAcentral describes it as "long non-coding RNA (PVUL_LNC000245)". Lineage: Eukaryota; Viridiplantae; Streptophyta; Magnoliopsida; Fabales; Fabaceae. The record is from RNAcentral.
UAUAAUUAUAAUUGUAAUAAUAAAUUCUAAAAUAAAAAAUCCACAAUGUAGUAUAUAUUUCUAAUUGAGUUCAAAAAUCCAAAUAAAAAUUCAAAUUCAAGUCAAUAUCUAAUGCAAUUGAAUGUAAACAAUAUUUGAAAACUAAAAUGAAUACAAACAAAUAAGUAAGAAAAUAACAUGUCUAUGAUCAUCAUCAUCAGAGUGAAUACAAAAUUAAUAGGACCUGUGAAAAAAAUGAAACGAUCAGUAAAUAAAUAGAACAAUUAGUACAUAAAAAGAAAUAUAUAAACCUUAAGUUAAUAAAAGGCCAACUUUUAUUUCUUACAGUAACAUACUGUAAAUUGAAAGCUAGGGAGAGAGAGAACUUCAAUCACAUGAUUUCUCAUAUUCUCCAAAGCAUCAAGUUAAUUGGACUAAAAUACAAUUUGUUAACAUAAAUGAAAAAAGAUUGACUGAAUCACUACAUUUUAGCAAAUUUAAUUUGAACUUCCUUAAUAAGUAAAUCACCUGAUUUGUGUUACGAAAACAACAAUCCUUUGACAGUAGCCUGAACAUUUUGUAC